RNAcentral lists this transfer RNA (67 nucleotides) under Diplostomum ardeae. RNAcentral's name for it is "tRNA-Ile". The record is from RNAcentral. Lineage: Eukaryota; Metazoa; Platyhelminthes; Trematoda; Diplostomida; Diplostomidae.
GCUGAUAGGGCUGCUUUAGCAGGCCAUUUUGAUAUAGUGGUGUGUAAAGAUUAUUCUUUCGUCAGUA